UUUGUGUUUUUAAUCAAAUAAUACAUACACAUAAAUUAAAAACUAAAAUUCUAUUUCAAGAGUCCUAUCCCAAUCUGUACUACUCCCAAUUCCCUUUUUCCAUGGGCGAUUCCAUUUAAUUCUUUUAGUUGUUUUUUUACCCUCUUUAUCAAACACUUCUGAUGUGCAACUUUGGAGACAGACAACCUCGCUUGUCUCUAAAGAGUCUGGCUGCUUGUUCUGUCACCUCUGCAAUGACCAGCUCUGCGUGGGCUCUCACUAACUUCUAACUUUGACCAGUCAUGAUCCAAUAGGCUCUCACUUCCAGCCCACCUCCCUUGCCUCACAUCCGGGGCUUCCCUAUUGAUGCUGAGGUAUCAGCUGGUACCCUCGGUGACUGUGUUUGCUUAACUCAAAAAUAGGAAGCGAACCUUUGACCAAUACGAUAUGGAAGCUGGUGGUUAAUCUUCUCCCCUUUACCCCCGACAUAAUGGACCAUCUCAAGUCAUGGCCAUUUAUAUGGCCUCUCACAGGAUGGUCCAGUGAGCAUGAGCCAUCGGUCAUACUUGACAUCAAGAGUGGCUGACUUGGUAACAACUGGACAACCCCUUGUUUAAUGCUCCCCUUUUACUCACCUCCCACCCCCUUUCCCUCAUCUCUCUUUCUCUAUUAUUGUCCUUAAUAAAGAGCGCAUAUCAGCCUUUGUCUCAGGCUCUGCUUUCUUAGAACCAAGGGUAGAACUCUCCAUAUUUCUAAAUAACUUGUUUAAACUGCUGCAUCUUGAUUUUUCAAUUUAAGACAUUAUCAAUUGGCUUUUUUUUCAUGAAAGAUGAGGAUUUAGUGUUCUUACAUUUCCAUUUCCCACCACCCAAUGCAUUUUUCACUCUCAUCCCUCUAUAUGUUCUGCAGCAAUUUUGGUUAAAUAAAUAUUUCAUGACUAUAUUAUUAUAAUUGCCUUAAUAAAAUUCACAGCUGAGUCAUAUAGUAUACUAGAAUUUAUUCCUUUUCUUUUUAAUUAGCUAAUUUUUAUGUACCUAUCACUAAUUAAACCCCACACUCUUUGACAGAACAUUAAAACUUCUUGCGUUAGAGUCAAACACACCGAGGAAUUUAUUAGUUCAAUUUGCCCGUGUGUACAUGUGUGUGUUUAGGCUCAUUCUUUCUGGAAACCUUCAUCUUCUUGCCCCAGUCAGAACUCGCUCUAUAGGUUUGCUGCUCAGCCAUCAGACUGGAGAAUCCUUUCACCACUGUUAUCGGAAUUCAGGUCCUCUCACUCUUGUUUUUUCAUCCUCCUGCUUUUUGUCUUCCUCUUUCUUGGAUUCCUCCCUUGCUUUUGCAGAGCACAUUUCCAGUAACUUCCUGGGAAAGGAUUUGGGAGGUAAACCUUUGGAGAUUCUACAAGUCUGCAAAGUGUAUCUACCUUUACACACUGAUGGUUUGGCUACAUAUGGAAUCCUAGGUUGACUGUCAUUUUCCCUAAGAACUAUGUAGACUUUUCUCCGUUAUCUUUCUGUAUUCCUCUUGAGAAAUUUAAUGGCAUUCUGACUACUGGUCCUUUGUGAGUUAAUUGUUUCUCUCUCUCUAGAAGCUUUUAGAAUCUGUUCUUGAUCUUGGUGAUUUGAAAUACAGUGAUAUGCCUUUGUGUGUGGCAGUUAUGGCUAGCCGUCCACUGAAAUCCUCUCUUCUCUUCCACAGUACAGCGUUGAACCUGGAAGGAGGCUGAGAGAUGAGAAACCUCACUUUCCAGUUCUUUUUGAAAACUGGAUGCAGAUGACAGUGGUGGACUAGGGGAUGGCAGGGCCACCAAAGGGAGUCAUCAUGGGCACUGCACUCAUGACGUGGAAGAGCUCCGAAGCAGGCAAAGUUCCAGAUGAAGCUACACUGUCAGCCUGAGCCCUGGAGUGAAGAUGAUUGACACGGAGCGGAGCCUCAGCUGAACCACGAUAGACGUGUACAAUGAACCAGAGGGGAAACCAACAGCGUGGGAUCAGGAAAAAAUGGACAGUAAGAGAAAGAAGUAAAGAGAGAAGGCCCCAGAAGUGAUGUUGUAAAAGUUCCAACCCGAGGCCUCUCAUGCUGGGAAUCCUGAUGGAGAAAGAAAAUCCAGGUGGAGAGAGGCCCCAGCUGUCUCUGCCUUCCCAAACAUCUCAAUAGAGGCCCAGACCUGUGGGUGAACCCAGACGAGAGCAGCUUCCUUUUUCAACUGCCAUGUGGACCUCAAGUUCUGGCAUCGGACAUGAAGAUAACAGCCUUACAGACAUUCUCGGGUUUCAAUUCAUUUUUGGCUAACGACCACAGGAAGAGCAGAGCAUAAUGUGUCUUUCUUGUUUAUUUGACGUGACUUAUGACGGGAGCGUAUGGCUGGAUUCGGGGCCGAUCCUUGGUCAGUAUCAUCCCAUAUGGGCAUACUGCUUAUGACCAGUGAAGUCCUGAUUGGCUGGCAGAUCCAUUCCGAUGGGUCAGUUCCUGUACUGUACCAGUGAUCAAAUAUUUGGAAUAUCAUCCCUAGCUGGAUUUCAUGUAUUAAUGCAAUAUGACAACUUUUGUCAUUUAACUAGAGAGCUGGCGUCCACAUGUCAGUCCAUUUAUGUUUGUUCUGAUUAAUGACUUGAUUUCUUUCCACCGUUUUGUUGUGUGGUUUCUGUUGAUCUCAAUCUUCUUUUUUCUUCCUUUAUUUUUGCCCAGUUGAUUUUUUCCCCCUUAAUCUCAUUCCACGUUUUUGCUGCUGCUUGUUAGGAACUUAUAUAUUUUAUGUCUAUUUUAAGUUUGUUUUCCAUAAUUAUUUUAACGUGCGUCUUUAACAAAACCUAAUUUAAUCAAUGUUUACCUUCCUCCUAAAUCAAGGGCCCUAAAAGGCUCUGUCUCCCCUUCCCUACACUGCACUAUUUCCCCCAAUAUUUUAGUUCUAUCCUGACCCACUCCCCUAGAAUUGGAUAUUAUUAUUAUUGCUUUAUACGGCCAAUAGUAGUUUAGCUUACUGUAUAUUUACCAAUUUUUUUUUGCUUAUCAUUCCUCUCUACACUUGAAAUGUUCCCUCUGGGAUCAUUUUCCUUCUUCAUGAAGAAAUUCUUUCAGUUAGAAUCUGUUGGUGAUAAACUCUCAGUUUUUAUUUAUCUGAAAAUGUCUUUGUUUUCAUGCUUAAGGAUUAAUUUCAUUGGUUAUGGAAUUCUAGGUUGACGCUUUUUAUAUUAGCACAUUAAGAUAAAAUUUUCAUGCUUUACGUCUUUUAUUAUUUUAGAUAAGUCAGCCAUCAGUCUAUGGUAUUAUUUGGAAGAUGGCCUUUUUUUUCCUAUCUGACCACUUUUAAGAUCUUUUCUUUUUUCUUUAUUGCUCUUCAGUUUCACUAUUGUGUAUCCAGGUAUAGAUUCCAUUUUAAUUUACUGUUUUUGGCAUUUAUUCUUAACAUGAGGAUUUGUAUUUAUCAAGAGUCCUAUAAAAUUAUCAGCCAACAUCUUUAUAUAUUGACUUUUUUUCAAUAUCUAUUUACUUUUUUUGAAACUCCAGUUAAAUGAAGUUUAGAACGUUCUAGUUUAUUCAUCCUGUCUCUUAAUAUCUUUUGUGUUUUCUCUAUCCUGUCUUUGAGCUAAUUUCUGUGUUAUAGCUUCAGAUUUCUUUUCUAGUUCACUGUGGUCUUCUUAAUGUGUCUAAUUUGUUUAAUCCAUUCAUUGAGCUUUAAAUUUUAAUAUCUUUUAUUUCUAGGGUUCUUUUUUGUUUCUCUAAAAAUCUGCUUGGGUAUUCUUUAUGGUCUCUUAUUCCUUUUGCAUGUCAACAGGAUCUUUUGUGUUUUUUUUUUUUAACA
This is a non-coding RNA of Equus caballus (horse), 3778 nucleotides long. The record is from RefSeq and is a predicted model, not a curated record. Lineage: Eukaryota; Metazoa; Chordata; Mammalia; Perissodactyla; Equidae.